Kryptolebias marmoratus (mangrove rivulus) is the source of this 126-nucleotide small nucleolar RNA. Lineage: Eukaryota; Metazoa; Chordata; Actinopteri; Cyprinodontiformes; Rivulidae. The record is from Ensembl.
CCCGCCACUAUACCCGUCUGCCUGUGGCUGAGUAUACUCCAGUGGAGGCUCAGAGCAAACCCGGCUUUAGGAAACAGAGCUGUCCACAUGAAUGGACAACUCUGUGCCGAAAAGUCUGGAACACUA